GCAUAUCAAUAAGCGGAGGAAAAGAAAAUAACAAUGAUUCCCUUAGUAACGGCGAGUGAAGGGGGAUAAGCUCAAAUUUUAAAUCUGCUAGGUUUUACCUGUCAGAGUUGUNUUUUGAAGAAGCGUUUUCCGCGUCUCGGUUGACCCAAAUCCUUUGGGAUAAGGUAUCAUGGAGGGUGAGAAUCCCGUCCGGUUGACCUUAUGAUGCUUUACGAUACGUUUUCAAAGAGUCGAGUUGUUUGGGAUUGCAGCUCAAAAUGGGAGGUAAAUUUCUCCUAAGGCUAAAUAUUGGCGAGAGACCGAUAGCGAACAAGUACCGUGAGGGAAAGAUGAAAAGAACUUUGAAAAGAGAGUAAAAUAGUACGUGAAAUUGUUGAAAGGGAAACGAUUGAAGUCAGUCGUACCGACGAGAAAUCAGCUCUUUGAGUGCGAACUUGUGGGCGUGCGUGAGCUUUACGGCCUCGCUGUUUGCAAUGUUUGUUCUUUUUGGGUGUACUUUUUCGUAUGGUAGGCCAACAUCAGUUUCGAAUAUCAUAAAAUGACCGGAGGAAUGUAGCUUCGAUCUCGUAUUGAAGUGUUAUAGCCUUUGGUAGAUGUGGUGUUUGGGACUGAGGAUUGCAACGAAUAUCCUUUGGGCUAUCCGUCUGAUCUCUGAAAGUUGCUUAGGUGCCGAAAGCAUGCUUACGGUUAUUUAAGUUGACGGUCAAAAGGUUAGAACGUGAUUACAUUCGUUAAGGAUGUUGACGUA
RNAcentral lists this ribosomal RNA (748 nucleotides) under uncultured Glomerales. Its description in RNAcentral is "LSU rRNA". It matches the Rfam family "Eukaryotic large subunit ribosomal RNA", at positions 38 to 633 of the family's 3401-position model. The record is from RNAcentral. Lineage: Eukaryota; Fungi; Glomeromycota; Glomeromycetes; Glomerales; Glomeraceae.